UUCAGCUUCUUAUAGAUUUAUUUGAUGCGAAGGAAGGGCAUUUAGCCUUACCAAACUAAAAAGCAAAAUGAACCAAGGACAGACUAGCAGUUGCCUGAUCUUCAUAAUUUCCACCAAAGGGUAGCUUGUAUCCUUGCUAAAUCUUACUUGGUAUUUUUUUCUAAGGAGCAUAGACCUCCAGGAUGAAAAUUCUCAGUUUUGGAGAGUUGAAUGGAUAACUACCUUAUCCCUCAAAAAAAGAAGUAGCUUAUUGACACAAUUGCUUUCUGCAUCAGGAGAUAUUUUAUUUGCUGGAACACUAAUGAUCAGUACUAGAACACUAAUUGAUAAUACUACUUUGACAUAGAAUUUUUAACAUUUCUAUAGAAGGUACAAAACUUCAGGGGAGAUUUUAUAAAUACUUGUCAUUCGCUUCACAAUACAGAAGCAACCUCAGUCAAUUGUUUGUUACUUUUAAUUGAACAUGUCUUAUUCAAUUAAUAUUUGUAUUAUUGUUUUCCUUAUGGGUUGUGAUAUGAUAGCAUAUGUUAACAUUUGUAAGACAAGGAGAAAAUAAGUAUGAAAAGCAGUUUAUACCUGGCUAGGGUAUUCUUUUUAUCCUGCAGCUUUCAAGAGUGAGAGUAAAAAUAAAUUGAUUGACCUGCCCAUUUUAAAACACGAUUCUACUUUUUUCUCAUAGAUAUGAAAAGAAAACCCAACUUUCCUGAAGUAUGUUUUAUGCUUAUUUUACCUUGUUAUAGGGCUGGGAUGAUACUGGCAAGAAGGGGCUUCUCGGGUAGGUCCGCAAAGUCCUGUUCAGACAGAACCUCGAUCACAUAGUAAAUCGCUUCUUGAGUGGGGUGGGGAAUUCUGUAGUUUGUAAGGUAGGAUUACCUUUCAAAGGAGAAGGGAAAACAUAGUCUAGAUAUUUCCAAAGCUUUGGUCUUUCUCCAGCAUGCUGAAACUAAGGUCUGCUUGAUUCUCUGGCCUGGGCUGUAGGUCUCUGAUGAUUUCAUUUGUGUUCUCUCCAAAUGAAUUCUUUUAUACUUUGUAUUUCAGCUUAGACAAGUUAUUUAUUUAUUGAAUAACGUGCAUGUAGGUUCAAUUAAGUGAAAGAUGAUCACAUGUAAUUAGCUACUUGUAAAGUGGAUUACAUAAAACAUUGGCAUGGAGGCUGUUCUAUAACUAAAUAUUAUUUUUUAGAAAGGCUUUCACCUCAAAAAGCGUGUCUGGAUUACUCAAGGGGUGUAUGGGUUUGGAUUUGAGCUGCAUGGCUCCUUAUGCAAGGUGAUGUAUUCCUUCUUGGUGUUUGCCAAGGGCAAAGUUAUGUGAUGCACGUGGAAACUUGGCUUUCUAAGGAAGCCGUCUGAGUCCUCAUUAUGGCAUCAGAACCGCAUGAAGACUUACUCUCUGGCAUGCGUAAGGACACCCAUUGCCGUAUUCCCAGUACCUUAGACUCUUCAGGAAGAAUCUAUUUUGAGAACUUUACUUUUGUCAUCUUGCCUCACAGAAACUUUCUAUACCUUUGUGAACAAUGAACAAUAGUCUAUAUGUAACCAUUGCUUUUUAAGCAUUAGCAUCAUAACUUCUGAAUUCCUUUAACUUCCUUACUCUGGGGUAGCAUAGUAUUUUGUUUGUGGAAGCAAUUCUAGACUCCUAGGUCUACCUUAUUUUUCUUUUUCUCCUCUUAAUAGAUUCGGCCUUCCCUCCUGCCAAACCUCUGCACUGUCCACUCCUUCCCCUGUCUAGCAGGAUUCUCCUAACCUUUGCUGUUUGAAUAAAAAAUCAAUAAGACUAUUAUAACCAUUUGAAAAUUUUUAAAAGACAGAAACAAUAUUUUAAUUACUACUGACAUGCCAGUUGGAAACCCAUAUCCUCUUUUAUGACAGUUCAGUUUAGAAACUACAUUGCUUCAUUUCAGUAACUUUAUUACCAUUUGGCUCGGAGAUUGCUAUUUCGCCUUGGCCACAGAUUUCAUCAGUUGCCCGGUUCACCUUUGUCCACACUAUACUUGUGAAAUGACCUCCUCCGUUAGUGCUUGUCAAUAGUAAAUUGCUAUAUUCUGCACCUAGAAACACACCAACAGACUACAACCUUUUAUUGAAUGACUGAGUUUGUACUUAAUUUUUAGAAAUUAAAUUUUAAUUGGAACAGCCUUAAUUACCAUUUAAUACUAGUUAAUUAAGGCACUGGUUAGGGUCAGCUAUCACAGACAUCAUUCUUAUUGAUAAUAGGAACAAUAAACAUGACAUAGUGUGCAAGUGUCUAUAUAACAAGUAUGUUUUCUUUGGUGUUUCCCACCUCUGAUUUUCUAACUAUUCUAUCAAAAUAACAAUGUGUGAGGCAGCCAAGGUUCAAUUAUCCUGAUGACAAAUUAAUUUUUUUUUAGAGUUCCCAAUGACUAAAUUAUCUGUUUAUAGAAACUUCUUUUAAAAUGGUGAGAAAUUUGUGCUAUUGUAAUAGAAGGACAAAUAGGAUUUGAUAUCACAAUGUAACUUAAAAAUAGUUACGUAAACAAUUUUAAAUAUAAAUUUUUAUUUGAAACAAAUGACUAAAAUAGUACAUCUGGAAGUACUUAGAAAUUUCUGGUUAUAUCAAGACCAGUAGUUUCUCUGUUAAAUAUGUAUUUUCCUAACUAUAUAUAUUUUUAUUUAUUAUAAGAUUUACAAGAAAAGAAAACAUGUCCACUCUUCACCUCUUUUCGCAGAUAGUUUCACUUUUUGUGUCUCCUUAACAAAGCCAUUUCUAUAAAUAGAUCACUGCCAAGUUGCUUGAAAAUUAAGGUAAAAUAAAAGGCCUGUAUUCUUGGAAAUCUCAUUUGAAUGAAAUUUACAAUAAUGAUUAAAUACUGCUGUUACUUCUCAAAUGUUGCUUGAUAUGCACUUAGUCUUGGUUGUAUAAUUUCACAAAGAUUAUUUUCUGUACUAAAAACACAAAUUCCAAAUUCCAUUUCUUGUGCAUUUUUAAUCUUCUUUGUUUUUGCUUUGUCACUACGCUCUUUGAGAUAACCUGGUAUCAGGCAGAGUUUACCUACUAGAGAAUAAAAUCAGGAUUAAACUAUUGAGGAAUGUUCUUUUGACAGAUGAACAUGGUAAGCUUGGUUGUUUUCAUCCUGAAUGUUUUGAAGUAAAGUAAGAUUGAGAUUUUAUUCAUCAAUAGAAAGUAAAAUAAUUGUAUAACUCUUGUAUGAUUUUAUUGAUGUUAGGCAAUGAAGACAGAAAUGAAAUGUUAAGCUUUUCUCCUUGCAGAUGUAAUUGAUGCUACAAUGGCUGUGACAUUCAGGAAUAUGAAAGUUUUCAUCAGUUUGCUUAUACUUUUGAUCAUAUUGGUAUAAUUUUUUUGCUUGUUUUAAAUGAGGUUAUUGCUCAAGAAAAGAAAAAUUUAAUAAAACCUGUGUUUGAAAAUAAAAUUCUGUCAGAAUUUCAGCCAACAAGAUUUCCUGUGUGAUGUGCAAUAACUGAUAUUUCAGUGUUGCUCUUCCUCAGAGAUUGACUUUUAGGUUGCCUGUAGCUCAGGACAGAAUUCGAUCAAAUCAAAAGCAUAUGCAGUCUGCAUGGGAUUUGUUUGGAUGAUAUGCAGAGAUAUGCAUUUUGUAUUUUAAUCAGUAUACUUUAGGUUCAUCUUACAAAAAGAAAAAAUAGCACUGUCUAAAUCUAAAAACAGACAUUUAUAGGCACCUGUUUGAAUCAUCAUGGUUAGGUUUAUUUUACGAUACAUUAAUAUUCUUAAAAUUCCCAAUAAGAAGAACAGUCACAUUUAAUAUACAAUAUUGAGUGGCUUUUGUGUGCUCAUUAAUAGUGUCACAGUUUAAAUAAAACUAUUAAGCCACCACCUUUACAAACUUGAUUUUACCUUUUUGAAUGUCUAGGGCAAAGGUUCAAGGCAUUUCUUUUCAGGUAAAUAAUUUGUAACUGUUGUUAAUCAAAAUUUCUCUAAAAUAAACCUAUUUAGAAAUAAUAAUAAUUGAAAAUCACCAACAUGGAAGAGUAGAUGAAUUGUGGGUUCAUAUGUAUUGCUAGAUAAGUUAAACAUCAGAGACAUAAAGUGUAAAGUUUGUGCAGCACUUAACAAGCUUUAGAAGAGCAUUAAAAGUAACGUAUAUGUAAUAUGCAAUACUAAUAGAGCUUCACAGUGCCCCUGAGAAAGCUGAAAAUGCAAUUCAGGACGCUUCAGGCUGUCUGAGAUGUUGAGAUUAUGUUCCACUAAGACCAAAAUAAGGUCUCAACAAGGUUUUCUUUCAACAUGUAAAUUCUCUGGAUGAAGAGAAAUGGAAAUAUAUUAAAAAUUCCAGGAGCUUAAAAAUGUAGGCAUUUAUAAGUGAUUAAAAUAGACGUUAAGUUUUUAGCUUUCCUUAGUAGUUGGCGUACCUUAACUUGUUUUUAUGUUAAACCAGUUAUUUUAAAAGCCAAACAUGUAUGGAGUGUGUCUAUCUUAUCGCUAUGUUAAUAGAAAAUAGUUCAAAAGAUAAAGGAGAGAAAAGUAAAGCCAUUAUAAUAAAAGAUUUUGAGUGCUGCUUUGGAGUUCUGGAGAGCGACCUUGCAUCACAUGUAUUAGGAUUAUCCGAAAGGAAAGACAAAAAACAAACUAUAUAAAAAGAGUUUAUAGAGAACUCUUUUCUUUAGAAGUCUCCCAUAUUGUCAGCUUAUAUAUUUUUAUAUACAGUGUCCUGUAACUAAAAUUUUAAGAAUUGAGUUCAGCCAUUAUCUUAUAACUAAGGAGGUAAAAACACAGCCUCUCUGGGUCUUAGUCUUUUUCAUCUUAAAAUGGAUGACUUCCAUCCAGAGAUUUCUAAAUUCUCUUCCAGCUCUAAAACACUAUGAGAAACUAUGGAACUACGAAGUUCCAUUUGAAAAUUUUUAAGAACGUGGAAAUUGAUUGUGCCACUCAAUUUUUCUAGUGGGUAUCAGCUGUGCAAUGAAGAGUGUUGAACAAUAUGUUAUUUCUUAGCCUCUAGGAAAGUGGUCCCCACACUGUGGGCUGCAGAUCUCUAGGAAUAUUGGACUUGUUGCAAAAGUUUCUCAAAUUCACAUGUGUAUUAAACAUGUGUUUCUUCACACAUAUGUACUAUAGGUGUUUUUGAUAUAUGAGGUAUCUGUUGUGAUUAGAAUAAAAACAUAUAUGCAUUUAGAAAUGUCAUAAAGGUGUCACAGAAUUCACCAUAAUUCUUAAGUCAUUGUUUCAUCAAUUAAUGAGAAAAGUAAAAUCAGUAUCUUAAAUCUGUGCAGGUAUUUUAAUGCUAAAAUGCGGUGGAACUCUUGUGUACUCACUGGAGGUACAUUAGUUGCAUAUAAUGUGAACUAUUGAGCAUUGACUUGGAAGUUGUGCCAUUAAUAUUUUUCCAGGGUCUUUGGAAUAUUUUAUUCCAUUUGAACACCUAGUUGGGGUUACGGCUCCAUUUCCUGUCAGAGUAUUUGAAGUAUCCCAUUAGCUACUGUUAGUGGUUGUCUUAGGAAUUCCUUCUAAGGGUGAAUAGUAACUGCUAUUUGUUGAGUUGAGCAUUUACUAAGCAUUGUGUGUGUGUGUGUUCGUGUGUGUGUGUGUUUUUGUGUGUGUGUGUGUGUGUGUGUGUGUGCGCAAGAUAUUUUGCAAGUUCAUUGAAGGAAUGCCAAGCUCUAAGGAAUCAAGGAUGAUUUUCUUAGGAAAGGUGAUACUUGAGCUGAGGUAUGAUGCCGAGGUUGUUGCUAGUAAGAGAAGGAGGGAAGGGAAAGGGAUGGAGCACAUUUUACAUGAGCUAGAGAUGCAGACGGGCAUUAGAUAGUCAAGAGACAAUAACAAAUCACGAGUCCCAUGUGCCUAGAACAUUGCAGGGUGGAGGAUUAAGUAGUGGAAGAAUUGUGUAGGCGAG
Molecule: long non-coding RNA, 5824 nt
Organism: Sapajus apella (tufted capuchin)
Lineage: Eukaryota; Metazoa; Chordata; Mammalia; Primates; Cebidae
Exons: 3
Source: RefSeq, a predicted model, not a curated record